AGGAGAAACCUGACAUGCUCUUGAUCUCUCUGGGAUUUCAUCUUAGAAGACUGAAUGUUUUUUCUAGAGGGGUCUUCCCCAGAACAUCAGAAGUAACAGUAGACCAGUCCUCCACCAAUUUUUGUAGAAGGUCUGAACUAUCAGAGUCACAGGUUUGAACCUCAGCCAAAGAAAAAAGUGAAAAUUGAAUCGAGGCAGUAGAGUUUCAAGUCCCACGCCAUGAUCUGCAGCUCCAGUAAUGGUAACAGUCCUGACCCAAGCCCCACCCUGACUGGAGUUUCAAAUUUCAGCCGUGGGUGGAGUCAGCCUCCAACUUCACUGUUUGGAUACCCUUUAAAGAAGUCUGGCGUCAAAUCGGCUGACGGUGCAAGAAAAUAAAGCCCUCUCCCUCAUGAAGCUAACAGAAACUUUCAUAAAGAGGUGGGAUUUUCCCUCUGCUGCUGCUCUUUGCCGGCAGGGCUUUGACGGGCUCUCUGGACUCAGUCGGCGGCUGAACUGUGACCUGGAACUCCCUUCUCUCGUGUAGACCGCAGUAGUGAUGGUGAAGGUGGCAGGAAUACAUGCC
Molecule: long non-coding RNA, 565 nt
Organism: Oryzias melastigma (Indian medaka)
Lineage: Eukaryota; Metazoa; Chordata; Actinopteri; Beloniformes; Adrianichthyidae
Exons: 4
Source: RefSeq, a predicted model, not a curated record